CUCCUUUCCUAGUGUCCCCAUCUUUGCUGCCUUCUGUGAGUUUGAUCAUGUGGACUCCAUGGAGGUUGGCCACUGCUGGGCAAUGCAGCCAAACAAAGUGAGCAAAAGUAGGCUGGAGGGCUCCGUGGGUGACUGGGGCUAGGCUGCCUCUGGUGCCCCAAGAACCCUGAAGCCACCUUGCAGCUCUUCUGAAAUGGGUUGGGGGAUCCAGCUAUCUGUAAUUGUGAAGUGAAGAGGAUGUGACUGCCAGGUAAUGCUAACCCCGAAUCCUUGGUGCCUGUGUUAUGCACCAUAUGCUGAAUUUCGGUUCCAGCUGUGUGCUAGGCUGGGUCUGAUCUGGCAAAGAGGAACUGGCUCCACAGCUCUGGGCAGAAUCCACUGCUGCUCCCACACAGAGAAGACCAGGGGAACCGCAGUCCCACUCUGAGUGGAAACCCUUGACACGUGUUACACACAAACAACACUUGGGGUGGAACAAGAGGUUUACAAUGAUCUGUCUGGGACCCAUAAUACAAUUCAGCAUCUCUUUAGAGCUUCAGUCUAUCAAACAUUUUCAGACUAUUUCAUUUAACCUUAACAGUUAUUGAAAUGCUUGGGGGGGAAAAAAACCUCCACAUUUGAGAUUUCCAUAGCAGAAGCAUCACCAGCAGCCUCAACAGCCAUUCAAAAAGAUAUCGUCUGCAGGCUUGUUACCUCUUAUCGUCCCUCCAUUGUAUUAUAGAACUCUUAUUCUUAGAGAGAUUGCCUGGAAAGAGGUAAAGUAUGCAUAGACAUGGUCAGCCCCAUUUGCAGCUGAGGAAAUGAGACUCAGAGUGGCAAAGUGACUUUUUCAGAAUCAUAGCAGUAAAUGGUAGCAUUAGGAAGCUAAGCCUGAUCAUCCUGUUCUUGUCCUGUUGAGGAGAUAGUGAGAGCAAAGGAAAGUGGCAACAAUGAAGGAAUAAAACCCAGCUCGUCCCCCUGUUCCUCAUGCCCAACCCUUGCCAAGACUUCAGGUAACAGAAGGAAGAGAACACAUGGAUGGGCACAUGCUGGGCCCGGAAGAGCUGUGCAUGUCCCACAGACCACGAGUGUGGAGCCCAUGGCCGUGUGAAGGGGGUGGGGUCCCAGUCCUAGAAGCAGGAUCAUGGAAGUGGCCUUGGAGGACCUGACGAGGAAGCCUAUGAUCUUCCAGGUACUUUUAGGUGAUGUGGAUUUAGACACUGGAUGUGGCUGUGAAGCGGGCUUUUGCUUUUUUGGUUGUCCGGCAUCCAUUUAAUCACGCCCCAGCUUCCUGCUUGGGAACUUCCACUAACGCUGUCAGUCCAUGGACUUCUAGAGGAGCUGAAUCUACCGCUGGCUCAGGAACAGGAACCUGACCUGGGCCUAAGCUAAUGAAUCCAUCAAAUUUACCUUGGCAAAGUGAUUGCCUCAGGAAUGGGCAGUGACCCAACUAGAGCCAAUAGGACUUUUCCCAGGUAUCCUGAAACAGACAGUCUUUUUCUCAUGGAUGUGGACCUGAGACAGUAUAGUUCUGGGAGUUGCUGACAACCAUCUUAUGGUCAUGAGCUGAUUUGAGAUUGGCUUCAACAAGCAGGAAGUGGAACAGAUGGAGAUAAAUUGGAUCCUGAAUUGUGGAAAGCUUACAAAGGGCUUCUGCUUCUGACUACGAUGGAGUGACUGGUAUCAGAUGGCCCUCUUGUCAGGAACAACCAUAAAAGCUAUACUUCACCCAGCUUUUUGAUAGCAUGGAGAAAUGUCAAGGCAGCUGGGAUUG
RNAcentral lists this long non-coding RNA (1753 nucleotides) under Homo sapiens (human). Its description in RNAcentral is "long independently transcribed non-coding RNA 222 (LINC00222)". The record is from RNAcentral. Lineage: Eukaryota; Metazoa; Chordata; Mammalia; Primates; Hominidae.